GGUCUCUGAGGGGAUCUGGAUCCUCUGAUGGUUUUAAAACCACAUCCAUGAGACCCACAAACAAACAGACAAACACAACAAGAGUUUUAUCUGAAUUCAGAAACAGAAGCUUUUAAAAUACUGCUGAUGCACUAACCUCUCGAAACAUUAGACUCGGCUUCAAACUCAGGACUUGUUGGAUCAUGGAACGAGUCGACCAGGAACAGGACAAAGAGCCUGAUGGUCCAGAGAGAGAUAAAAUGACCAUAAAGAACCUCAGAACCAGGUCCCACAGGUUUCUAAUCACUCCAUGUGGACUGAUGCUGUACUGAUACUGUCCAGAACCGGUUUAUUUUUGGUUGAGAAGCUCUGAUCGCUGUGAAACCAGAACAGAACCUGAUCCAUGUUGGUUCCAGCUCUGUCACACCCGUCUCACACACACUGAUCCUGAACGUCUCAGUAAAACCUCUGAGUCUCUGAUCCUGCAGCUCAGCCUCCACCUGCACUGACUCCAGCUUCACCCACCGGUUCUCUGGCUCUGGUCCAGACUGAUCCUGGUUCAGGUUCAGGGAAAGAUCCUGGUCCUGUUUAACAGUGUUGCUCUGCAGGGCUGAAGAUUCAGGUUUCUGUCGACUGUUUGAAGAGUAAAACUUUAAAUUCUCCAGUUUGCACAUUUUACCUGAAAUGUGUGUGUGUGUGUGUGUGUGUGUGUGUGUGUGUGUGUGUGUGUGUGUGUGUGUGAGCAGGACGUGACUCAGCUCCGUCCUGUUGACUCAUCUCACUGGGAGCAGGAGGAGCAGGAGGAGGAGGAGGAGGACAGACCUUCUCCUCCUGUAACUCUCCACCUCCUCUCACCUGCAGACGUCCUCUCCUCACCUGCUCACAGCUUCACGCCGAUGACGUCACGUCAGAGGUUCAGGGCUGUAAACGUCCUGCAGCAGCUGAUCAGUGAUCAGUUAUUGAUCAUCAGUUAAACUUCAUUUAUCACCUGAAGAAGAAAUAAAGUUCAAACACCUUCCUUUAA
Lates calcarifer (barramundi perch) is the source of this 1003-nucleotide long non-coding RNA. RefSeq lists it as uncharacterized. The transcript is spliced from 2 exons. NCBI's taxonomy places the organism in Eukaryota, Metazoa, Chordata, Actinopteri, Centropomidae. The record is from RefSeq and is a predicted model, not a curated record.